UGAAGUAGGUCCCAAGGGUAUGGCUGUUCGCCAUUUAAAGUGGUACGCGAGCUGGGUUUAGAACGUCGUGAGACAGUUCGGUCCCUAUCUGCCGUGGGCGCUGGAGAACUGAGGGGGGCUGCUCCUAGUACGAGAGGACCGGAGUGGACGCAUCACUGGUGUUCGGGUUGUCAUGCCAAUGGCACUGCCCGGUAGCUAAAUGCGGAAGAGAUAAGUGCUGAAAGCAUCUAAGCACGAAACUUGCCCCGAGAUGAGUUCUCCCUGAGACUUUAGGUCUCCUGAAGGAACGUUGAAGACGACGACGUUGAUAGGCCGGGUGUGUAAGCGCAGCGAUGCGUUGAGCUAACCGGUACUAAUGAACCGUGAGGCUUAACCUUACAACGCCGAAG
RNAcentral lists this ribosomal RNA (389 nucleotides) under Salmonella enterica. Its description in RNAcentral is "partial 23S ribosomal RNA". It matches the Rfam family "Bacterial large subunit ribosomal RNA", at positions 2554 to 2925 of the family's 2925-position model. Lineage: Bacteria; Pseudomonadati; Pseudomonadota; Gammaproteobacteria; Enterobacterales; Enterobacteriaceae. The record is from RNAcentral. RNAcentral also lists the same sequence under 1 other name.